Molecule: unclassified non-coding RNA, 421 nt
Filed under: soil metagenome
Description: partial contains 5.8S ribosomal RNA, internal transcribed spacer 2, and large subunit ribosomal RNA
Rfam family: 5.8S ribosomal RNA (bases 1-120)
Source: RNAcentral
GAUGAAGAACGCAGCGAAAUGCGAUACGUAAUGUGAAUUGCAGAAUUCAGUGAAUCAUCGAAUCUUUGAACGCGUAUUGCGCUCUUUGGUAUUCCGAAGAGCAUGCUUGUUUGAGUAUCAGUAAACACCUCAACCUCUUCUUGAUUUUUCAAAAGGAGGGUGGACUUGAGCUAUCCCAACAACCUUUACCGGUCGGCGGGCGGCUUGAAAUGCAGGUGCAGCUGGACUUUUAUCUGAGCUAAAAGCAUAUCUAUUUAGUCCUCGUCAAACAGGAUUAUUACUUUUGCUGCAGCUAACAUAAAGGAUAAUUGUCCUCUUUGCUGACUGAUGCAGGAUUUUACGACACUUUAUGUGUUGUUCAACUCGAUCUCAAAUCAAGUAAGACUACCCGCUGAACUUAAGCAUAUCAAUAAGCGGAGGA